AUGGCAACCCCUUCGGAUGCACGCUUGGCAGCGAGUGGCGGGUCUCGAGGUGGCAAAACGGAUAACCUAGAUGAUUUCUUCGAGCAGCUUGACCUAGAAGAUGAGGUGUUCGAUGAUCUGGUGAUCGAAGAGGAAAUUCUGGAGAUCAAUAACCGUGUACGAUGUAUGGCUCUUACUCGGGUGCUCACUGAUAAGACCUUCAGCCAGUCGGCGUUCUUCAAGGACAUGCGGGCGGCUUGGAACCCGGUGCAGCCGGUGAGAUUCCGGCCAGUUGGUGCCAAUCUGUUUGUGGUGCAGGCUUCAUGCCUUGGCGAUUGGGAGCAGAUCAUGUUCCAAGGGCCAUGGAUUUUUUGAUUUUGGGUUGUGCCUCUUCUCCCAUACGAUGGAUUCAGCAGGGCGGAGGAUGUUUAGUUCAUUCAUAUUCCCAUUUGGUUGCAUAUGCACAAACUUCCCGACAGUUAUUGUAGUAUGGAUAUUGUGGAAAAAUUGAUUCGCACGGCUGGUGAGAUCUUGGAGUUCAGGCUUUCAGGAAAUUCUAGAGGAGAUUAUGGGAGGAUUAGAGUGAAACAUGAUGUCAGAGAACCUCUAACAAAGCACGUCGGUAUCAUUAGAGGAAAGGAGAGGCUGGUGUAUUCUAUGAGAUACGAGAAACUUGCACGUUUUUGUAAGCACUGUGGUAAAAUCGGACAUGAGCAUAAGGAGUGUGGAUUGGGUGUUUACACAACAAAGGAAUUUAAGUUUGGGGAUUGGUUAUAUGCAGAUCUACCAAACAUGAACAGAGCUGAGAUUGAAGGAGGUGGUCGGGCUUUUGCUCCUCCACCGGCUGAUGAAGCUAUGUACCUAGGGUAG
Molecule: ribosomal RNA, 849 nt
Filed under: Triticum aestivum (bread wheat)
Lineage: Eukaryota; Viridiplantae; Streptophyta; Magnoliopsida; Poales; Poaceae
Description: partial small subunit ribosomal RNA
Source: RNAcentral